This 506-nucleotide ribosomal RNA is filed under the name uncultured bacterium. RNAcentral describes it as "partial 16S ribosomal RNA". It matches the Rfam family "Bacterial small subunit ribosomal RNA", at positions 29 to 523 of the family's 1533-position model. The record is from RNAcentral.
AGUGAACGCUGGCGGUAGGCCUAACACAUGCAAGUCGAACGGCAGCACAGAGGAGCUUGCUCCUUGGGUGGCGAGUGGCGGACGGGUAAGGAAUACAUCGGAAUCUACUCUGUCGUGGGGGAUAACGUAGGGAAACUUACGCUAAUACCGCAUACGACCUACGGGUGAAAGCAGGGGACCUUCGGGCCUUGCGCGAUUGAAUGAGCCGAUGUCGGAUUAGCUAGUUGGCGGGGUAAAGGCCCACCAAGGCGACGAUCCGUAGCUGGUCUGAGAGGCAGAUCAGCCACACUGGAACUGAGACACGGUCCAGACUCCUACGGGAGGCAGCAGUGGGGAAUAUUGGACAAUGGGCGCAAGCCUGAUCCAGCCAUACCGCGUGGGUGAAGAAGGCCUUCGGGUUGUAAAGCCCUUUUGUUGGGAAAGAAAUCCAGCUGGCUAAUACCCGGUUGGGAUGACGGUACCCAAAGAAUAAGCACCGGCUAACUUCGUGCCAGCAGCCGCCGUAA